RNAcentral lists this ribosomal RNA (1084 nucleotides) under Citrobacter sp. S2.NA. RNAcentral describes it as "bacterial SSU rRNA". It matches the Rfam family "Bacterial small subunit ribosomal RNA", at positions 61 to 1133 of the family's 1533-position model. The record is from RNAcentral. Lineage: Bacteria; Pseudomonadati; Pseudomonadota; Gammaproteobacteria; Enterobacterales; Enterobacteriaceae.
GUCGAACGGUAACAGGAAGCAGCUUGCUGCUUUGCUGACGAGUGGCGGACGGGUGAGUAAUGUCUGGGAAACUGCCCGAUGGAGGGGGAUAACUACUGGAAACGGUAGCUAAUACCGCAUAAUGUCGCAAGACCAAAGAGGGGGACCUUCGGGCCUCUUGCCAUCGGAUGUGCCCAGAUGGGAUUAGCUUGUUGGUGAGGUAACGGCUCACCAAGGCGACGAUCCCUAGCUGGUCUGAGAGGAUGACCAGCCACACUGGAACUGAGACACGGUCCAGACUCCUACGGGAGGCAGCAGUGGGGAAUAUUGCACAAUGGGCGCAAGCCUGAUGCAGCCAUGCCGCGUGUAUGAAGAAGGCCUUCGGGUUGUAAAGUACUUUCAGCGGGGAGGAAGGGGUUAAGGUUAAUAACCUUAGCCAUUGACGUUACCCGCAGAAGAAGCACCGGCUAACUCCGUGCCAGCAGCCGCGGUAAUACGGAGGGUGCAAGCGUUAAUCGGAAUUACUGGGCGUAAAGCGCACGCAGGCGGUCUGUCAAGUCGGAUGUGAAAUCCCCGGGCUCAACCUGGGAACUGCAUUCGAAACUGGCAGGCUUGAGUCUCGUAGAGGGGGGUAGAAUUCCAGGUGUAGCGGUGAAAUGCGUAGAGAUCUGGAGGAAUACCGGUGGCGAAGGCGGCCCCCUGGACGAAGACUGACGCUCAGGUGCGAAAGCGUGGGGAGCAAACAGGAUUAGAUACCCUGGUAGUCCACGCCGUAAACGAUGUCUAUUUGGAGGUUGUGCCCUUGAGGCGUGGCUUCCGGAGCUAACGCGUUAAAUAGACCGCCUGGGGAGUACGGCCGCAAGGUUAAAACUCAAAUGAAUUGACGGGGGCCCGCACAAGCGGUGGAGCAUGUGGUUUAAUUCGAUGCAACGCGAAGAACCUUACCUGGUCUUGACAUCCACAGAACUUGGCAGAGAUGCCCUUGGUGCCUUCGGGACUGGUGAGACAGGUGCUGCAUGGCUGUCGUCAGCUCGUGUUUGUGAAUGUUGGGAUUAAGUCCCGCAACGAGCGCAACCCUUAAUCUUUGUUCCAGCGGUUCCGGCCG